AUUCUCAGUUUGACUUUGCCACCUAACUUCCUGCUCAGCUACCAUCCUGUCAGCUUUUUGUUAACCAAUGAGAGUAAUACGUAUUCGUAGUGGAGAAAAGCACUGUUCCCCAGGAGUGAGAAGCUGGGAGAAGGGAAACCCAUGAGCUGGAGAAGUUUGGGGUAGGGGGCCGGUGAGAAGAACGAGAAUACCAGCAUGGACCCUGUGACAGACAGGGUUUCUCUGUGUAGCUUUGGAGCCCAUCCUGGCACUCGCCCUGGAGACCAGGGUGGCCUAGAACUGACAGAGAUCAGCCUGUGUCUGCCUCCCAAGUGCUGGAAUGAAAGACACGUGCCACCACCACCCAGCAAAACAAGAAAGCUAGCUACUACUACUGACAAAGGGCCUUGUCUGAUGUCAGAAGAGCCUGCUCAGUCUGCAAACUCAACACAACCUGGAAGUGCAGGGAAAUAUGCCGAUUGGAGUUGAUGUGUAAAUUCCCAGCCUCCUGUGGGCAUUUCUGGGAUGGACUAGAGACAUCUGUAGAAUUCCGAAACUGUGCAAAAUACAUUGCAUGUAUUGAGUUCCUGGGAGAGACCCAUGGCUUUCAUAAGAUCUUCAAAGAAAUCUCCUUCCCAAGAAACAGGUUGCUCACUGGUUAUUUCUGG
RNAcentral lists this long non-coding RNA (647 nucleotides) under Cricetulus griseus (Chinese hamster). RNAcentral describes it as "lncRNA (ENSCGRG00015040416.1)". The record is from RNAcentral. Lineage: Eukaryota; Metazoa; Chordata; Mammalia; Rodentia; Cricetidae.